This 877-nucleotide ribosomal RNA is filed under the name uncultured bacterium. RNAcentral's name for it is "bacterial SSU rRNA". It matches the Rfam family "Bacterial small subunit ribosomal RNA", at positions 31 to 916 of the family's 1533-position model. The record is from RNAcentral.
GAACGCUAGCGGCAGGCCUAAUACAUGCAAGUCGAACGGUCUUUAGCAAUAGAGAUAGUGGCGCACGGGUGCGUAACGCGUAACCAACCUACCCGAAUCUGGGGGAUAGCCCGCCGAAAGGCGGAUUAAUACCGCAUAAAACGGCAGACCGGCAUCGGUUCACCGUUAAAGAUUUAUUGGAUUCGGAUGGGGUUGCGUGCCAUUAGCUAGUUGGCGGGGUAACGGCCCACCAAGGCGACGAUGGCUAGGGGAGCUGAGAGGCUGGUCCCCCACACGGGCACUGAGAUACGGGCCCGACUCCUACGGGAGGCAGCAGUAGGGAAUAUUGGGCAAUGGACGAGAGUCUGACCCAGCCAUGCCGCGUGCAGGAUGAAGGCUUUCUGAGUCGUAAACUGCUUUUCUCAGGGAAGAAAAAAGGGGAUGCGUCCUCUACUGACGGUACCUAAGGAAUAAGCACCGGCUAACUCCGUGCCAGCAGCCGCGGUAAUACGGAGGGUGCAAGCGUUGUCCGGAUUUAUUGGGUUUAAAGGGUGCGUAGGCGGUUCUUUAAGUCCGGGGUGAAAGCCCACUGCUCAACAGUGGAACUGCCCUGGAAACUGGAGGACUUGAGUACAGACGAGGGUGGCGGAAUGGAUGCUGUAGCGGUGAAAUGCAUAGAUAGCAUCCAGAACCCCGAUUGCGAAGGCAGCUGCCUAGACUGUAACUGACGCUGAGGCACGAAAGCGUGGGGAGCGAACAGGAUUAGAUACCCUGGUAGUCCACGCCGUAAACGAUGGAUACUCGCUGGUGGCGAUAGACGGUCACUGGCUUAGCGAAAGCGUUAAGUAUCCCACCUGGGGAGUACGCUCGCAAGAGUGAAACUCAAAAGAAUUGACGG